AGGAGCAGCAUCUUAUGUCACAAAAGUUGCUGCUGUCAGCAGCUGGUUUACUCAGCAUGUGACUUUGGGGGUGGCCUCAGUGAGUGCCUUUUCCUACUGAAACAAACCAUAUAGUUUUGUCUGGCAGUCAGAAUAUUUUGCUGGAGAUGGUUAUGAGUCUUGGAAAGCACCACCUUGGAAAUACGGGUUUAUUAGAUCAUUAUGAGUUGACUUCUCACCCUGCAGAGUUGCACAGUUGCUGCUCUACAGUGAAUGUUUAGUUAGUUGUACCCAGAGCACGUGGUACAGGCGAGUUACAGUGGCUCUAAAGGCUCACACUCUCCACUCCUUGGGUAGUCCACGUGGUUCAGCUUCAGCAUGACUGCAAUGGCUGGGUUCACCUGCAUUGAUUGAGGCAGAAUUUGGAUCACAAUGUUAAAUUUCAAGGAGUUGCUGAGGCCAAAGCAAUGUUUCGGGUGUAAGGCAUGGAUUUGUUUUGCUUAAGUAUUGCAAUCCUGUUUAUCCUAGAGGAAAUAAAUUUCUUUUUCUUUGCAUUAAUAACUUUUCUUUAUGUUUUUUCAAGGCAGGGUAAAAGAUGACCCUUGUUUUACUGAAAUGAGAUGAGCUCACUCCUAUGACUUAAGCUGUACUUAGGCGUGGUCUGGGUGACCUGGUAUCAUCCAGCAGAAGUUGGGUUCUCAAAGACUAAAACCUCCAGUGAUCCAGAGCCUGAUGCCCCUGCAGUCCAAGCCAGAGAGGAAGUUUGUGAUCACGACUGGAGAGCUGGAAAAUCAAUGAGGGAUGAGGAGGACCAGAGUUUUAUCACCAUCUUCUCAUUUUGCAUCACACUUCAGUAUCUUCGCCCAUUAAAGCGCUUUUCAUCCUAUACUUCUUUCCUUGGAAAGGCAAACCCACCAGUGUCCCAUCUCCAGUAGACCUGAGCUCCUGAGCUCCAUGACUGAAGGUUGCCAACUCCGACUCUGUUGCAAGCUCUGUAACAGUCUCUGUUGACAGCUAGUGGCAGCUGCUUAGGAUGGAAAAUCAUGUGGACAAGAAGAUGCAGUCCAGUACGACUUAGAUUAAUUCUUAUUCAUCUAAUCAUAAAAAUACAAGAAGAUAAAGGAAACUUACAAC
Long non-coding RNA from Serinus canaria (Common canary), 1113 nucleotides. RefSeq lists it as uncharacterized. The record is from RefSeq and is a predicted model, not a curated record. NCBI's taxonomy places the organism in Eukaryota, Metazoa, Chordata, Aves, Passeriformes, Fringillidae. The transcript is spliced from 4 exons.